Molecule: small nuclear RNA, 63 nt
Filed under: Microcebus murinus (gray mouse lemur)
Lineage: Eukaryota; Metazoa; Chordata; Mammalia; Primates; Cheirogaleidae
Description: U7 small nuclear RNA (ENSMICG00000025592.3)
Rfam family: U7 small nuclear RNA
About the family: Animal histone pre-mRNAs are spliced by a different mechanism than nuclear pre-mRNAs and self-splicing introns. This processing involves the U7 snRNP, which contains only one RNA species: U7.
Source: Rfam by way of RNAcentral
UAGUGUUACAGUUCUUUUAGAAUUUGUUUUAGCAGAUGUUCUGGUCCUCACUGGAAGACCCCC